UACGUAGGGGGCAAGCGUUGUCCGGAUUUAUUGGGCGUAAAGCGCGUGUAGGCGGCCACGCAGGUCCGCUGUGAAAACUCGAGGCUCAACCUCGAGCUGUCGGUGGAAACCGCGUGGCUAGAGUCCGGAAGAGGGGACUGGAAUUCCCGGUGUAGCGGUGGAAUGCGCAGAUAUCGGGAGGAACACCCGUGGCGAAGGCGGGUCCCUGGGACGGUACUGACGCUGAGGAGCGAAAGCCAGGGGAGCAAACGGG
RNAcentral lists this ribosomal RNA (253 nucleotides) under uncultured bacterium. Its description in RNAcentral is "partial 16S ribosomal RNA". It matches the Rfam family "Bacterial small subunit ribosomal RNA", at positions 524 to 776 of the family's 1533-position model. The record is from RNAcentral.